GACGAACGCUGGCGGCGUGCUUAACACAUGCAAGUCGAACGGUGAACCUCUUCGGAGGGGCUCAGUGGCGAACGGGUGAGUAACACGUGGGCAACCUGCCCCCGGCUCUGGGAUAACUCCAAGAAAUUGGGGCUAAUACCGGAUGUUCACCGCUUCCCGCAUGGGAGGUGGUGGAAAGGGUUUCCGGCUGGGGAUGGGCCCGCGGCCUAUCAGCUUGUUGGUGGGGUAGUGGCCUACCAAGGCGACGACGGGGAGCCGGCCGGAGAGGGUGACCGGCCACCAUGGGACGGAGACACGGCCCAGAGGACUAGGGGAGGCAGCAGGAGGGAAGCGUAGGCAAUGGAGGGAAGGCUGAGCGAGCAACGCCGAGGGAGGGAAGAAGGGGUUCGGAUCGGAAAGCUCGGUUGUAAGAGAAGAAAGAGUGGGAGAGUGGAAAGUUCAAACGGGGACGGUAUCUGACCAGAAAGGGACGGCUAACUACGUG
This 484-nucleotide ribosomal RNA is filed under the name uncultured bacterium. RNAcentral's name for it is "partial 16S ribosomal RNA". It matches the Rfam family "Bacterial small subunit ribosomal RNA", at positions 28 to 507 of the family's 1533-position model. The record is from RNAcentral.